AAGAAUAGUAGGGGGGGGC
Molecule: transfer RNA, 19 nt
Filed under: Heptapleurum arboricola
Lineage: Eukaryota; Viridiplantae; Streptophyta; Magnoliopsida; Apiales; Araliaceae
Also listed under: 1 other name
Description: Schefflera arboricola partial tRNA-His
Source: RNAcentral